Triplophysa dalaica is the source of this 694-nucleotide long non-coding RNA. RefSeq lists it as uncharacterized. The record is from RefSeq and is a predicted model, not a curated record. Lineage: Eukaryota; Metazoa; Chordata; Actinopteri; Cypriniformes; Nemacheilidae. The transcript is spliced from 3 exons.
AUUCACUCUGCCGCAGAGGGGAGGACCAGGAAAACCAUAAUGUCUGAAGCUGUUCACAUCACUGGUUGUCCGCGUGAUUUCAACAACAUCUACUCUCAUCUGAGUGAAAGCGUCUCAAAGGCAUUGUCUCGUUCCAUUGCGAGUGACGCAUCAUUCAAAGAACAUGUCAUUAAUGGACUGCUCCAAACAAAACCUUAUUCUCAACUGCUUUAUUGCUCAGCUGAGCCAUGACUGUGAAUUGUCAGUGGUUCUCAAUUUAUGGGUCCCCCUAUAAGAAAGAAGAAUUGCAGGACAGAUCUUGACUGAUUGUGAAUUGCGAAGAUAAGAGGAAGAAAAGGAGGAAGGGAGAGAAUAAGUGAAUGGAAGCACUAUGUGCAGAUGAAGUAUUCCACCAAAUCAAGAGGGCGGUAAAAAGAGAAAAUAAUAAGACAUUACAUUACACCCUUCCUGAGUAUAAAGAUGAAAGACAGGAAAUUCUGUGGAAAAUGAAUCCUUUGCUUUCUACGCUUUUCCAGGGCAUUCUGUUUCUCUUAGAGCACAGGACAGGUUACAUCACAGCCUGGCACCCAUUUUGUCUCAUCAACAAAAUAACUAAAAUGUUUUUAAGAUGGAAGGGUUUUUAUUCACCCACGACAACAUUAUGACGAUUAAAUUGAAAGAGGGCUGGGCCAAAUGCAGUUUAAAAAGAUGUCCA